This is a non-coding RNA of Xyrichtys novacula (pearly razorfish), 1396 nucleotides long. The record is from the annotation of a GenBank genome assembly. NCBI's taxonomy places the organism in Eukaryota, Metazoa, Chordata, Actinopteri, Labriformes, Labridae.
GGUUAAUCUGUGCUGAAUUUAUCCAGCAAGCUCUGGCAUCUGGAAAAAAUAGAACUUGUGCGAUCUGCAGUGGAACGGAAAGAAGCCAGUGGAAAUUGACCCAUGAACUUGAAUGGUUGCGAUCAGCUUACGGCUAAUAAGGCCUGGAAAUUGGGGGUAGCCCUGUGCCUGAGCGUAAUGGGACCCCAAGACCCUAACCCCUUACCUCCAGACAGGUGCUAUUCUGUAUCUGACUAAUACCUGACUUGCGCCUUUUCUGACCCUAUCUUACUUUAUGUUCAAUAAUGUUGGUGCUUCGUAAUGCUCAGAAGAGGCUAUAAUUUGAUUUGUUUGAUUUGUUUUUAGUUUGAAUACAACCAAUUUAUCAGGGUAUGAAGAACCGACAAAACCACUGAUGAUAGAUGUUUUGUUUUAUUGAACAUACAAGUUGUCAGAAAAUUUGCCUUGUCAUAGUUAUUGAGUUAUUAUAAAUUUGUUUUACAGCAUGCAAAACAGCCACCCUUGCGUCCCAUCAGUCUGAUACAUGAACAGCAAUAACCAUCUCCUUACUGCUCACAAGUGUAUCAUCAUCCUUUUGACCUGCAGUCAGUGAGUUUAAAAGCAAGAAGGUGGAAUCACCAACAAAGACUACUGAUAAGGUAGGUGUUAGCACGAUAAUGAGAUCAAUCCAAUCAAUCCUGAAUUUUCUUUCUUUUCUUUCACUGUACCCUAUUGAAAGUAAAUUUGAACACAGUUCUUUCUCUCCUUGUCUUCAUCAGGUGUCCACCAUCAAAUAUAAGACAUGUCAGCCAACUCCUCAUCUGCCUAUAACUUCUCUCUUGGUUCUGACCUCAGUAGCUGCUCUUCCUCCACACUCUUUAGUAAACCUCUCACUAUUUCCAUCAACACUGCCAGAGCCAUCCUCAUCCUUCCCCUCGCAGUCAUCAUCCUCCAUCUGGCUUGCCAAAGAUGGAAGAAGAGGGGUUCCUUGACGGAUGCGAGCAAUUGUGACAUCUUUACCUACCACCUGGCUGUCAUGGAGCUGCUGGGUAUUUUAGGGACAGUCUUCUCCCUUUGCAGCUCUGUUACAGGGUCCAAACAGAUGGAGAGAGUGGGGCUCACUUUUUUUGCCAUUCCGUACUCUGGAGUGACCUUCUUCCAUGUCCUGACCUGUAUGGAACGUUACAUGGCUGUCGUUCACCCCCACACCUACAUGGGGUUCAAGAAAGUCCAUAGGUUUAAGUUUAGAAGCAUCAUCAUCGGGUGUGUUUGGCUGCUGAGCUUAGCGUGGAUGUUGUCAGUAAUGCUUAGCUACCCUCUCCUACCAGCCACUCCAUUUUUGUGUAUCGUGAUCAUCUCUUUUGUCAUCAUUUCUUUCUGCAGCCUGUCCGUUCUCUGCGCUCUGAUUCGUCCGGGG